CGAUUGACGCUGGCGGCAGGCCUAACACAUGCAAGUCGAACGGUAACAGGAAACAGCUUGCUGUUUCGCUGACGAGUGGCGGACGGGUGAGUAAUGUCUGGGAAACUGCCUGAUGGAGGGGGAUAACUACUGGAAACGGUAGCUAAUACCGCAUAACGUCGCAAGACCAAAGAGGGGGACCUUCGGGCCUCUUGCCAUCGGAUGUGCCCAGAUGGGAUUAGCUUGUUGGUGGGGUAACGGCUCACCAAGGCGACGAUCCCUAGCUGGUCUGAGAGGAUGACCAGCCACACUGGAACUGAGACACGGUCCAGACUCCUACGGGAGGCAGCAGUGGGGAAUAUUGCACAAUGGGCGCAAGCCUGAUGCAGCCAUGCCGCGUGUAUGAAGAAGGCCUUCGGGUUGUAAAGUACUUUCAGCGGGGAGGAAGGGAGUAAAGUUAAUACCUUUGCUCAUUGACGUUACCCGCAGAAGAAGCACCGGCUAACUCCGUGCCAGCAGCCGCGGUAAUACGGAGGGUGCAAGCGUUAAUCGGAAUUACUGGGCGUAAAGCGCACGCAGGCGGUUUGUUAAGUCAGAUGUGAAAUCCCCGGGCUCAACCUGGGAACUGCAUCUGAUACUGGCAAGCUUGAGUCUCGUAGAGGGGGGUAGAAUUCCAGGUGUAGCGGUGAAAUGCGUAGAGAUCUGGAGGAAUACCGGUGGCGAAGGCGGCCCCCUGGACGAAGACUGACGCUCAGGUGCGAAAGCGUGGGGAGCAAACAGGAUUAGAUACCCUGGUAGUCCACGCCGUAAACGAUGUCGACUUGGAGGUUGUGCCCUUGAGGCGUGGCUUCCGGAGCUAACGCGUUAAGUCGACCGCCUGGGGAGUACGGCCGCAAGGUUAAAACUCAAAUGAAUUGACGGGGGCCCGCACAAGCGGUGGAGCAUGUGGUUUAAUUCGAUGCAACGCGAAGAACCUUACCUGGUCUUGACAUCCACGGAAGUUUUCAGAGAUGAGAAUGUGCCUUCGGGAACCGUGAGACAGGUGCUGCAUGGCUGUCGUCAGCUCGUGUUGUGAAAUGUUGGGUUAAGUCCCGCAACGAGCGCAACCCUUAUCCUUUGUUGCCAGCGGUCCGGCCGGGAACUCAAAGGAGACUGCCAGUGAUAAACUGGAGGAAGGUGGGGAUGACGUCAAGUCAUCAUGGCCCUUACGACCAGGGCUACACACGUGCUACAAUGGCGCAUACAAAGAGAAGCGACCUCGCGAGAGCAAGCGGACCUCAUAAAGUGCGUCGUAGUCCGGAUUGGAGUCUGCAACUCGACUCCAUGAAGUCGGAAUCGCUAGUAAUCGUGGAUCAGAAUGCCACGGUGAAUACGUUCCCGGGCCUUGUACACACCGCCCGUCACACCAUGGGAGUGGGUUGCAAAAGAAGUAGGUAGCUUAACCUUCGGGAGGGCGCCUUACCACUUUGUGAUCAUGAC
This 1458-nucleotide ribosomal RNA is filed under the name Shigella flexneri. RNAcentral's name for it is "bacterial SSU rRNA". It matches the Rfam family "Bacterial small subunit ribosomal RNA". Lineage: Bacteria; Pseudomonadati; Pseudomonadota; Gammaproteobacteria; Enterobacterales; Enterobacteriaceae. The record is from RNAcentral.